RNAcentral lists this ribosomal RNA (468 nucleotides) under uncultured bacterium. RNAcentral's name for it is "partial 16S ribosomal RNA". It matches the Rfam family "Bacterial small subunit ribosomal RNA", at positions 28 to 507 of the family's 1533-position model. The record is from RNAcentral.
GACGAACGCUGGCGGCGUGCUUAACACAUGCAAGUCGAACGGAAAGGCCUGUCUGUUGUGGGGUGCUCGAGUGGCGAUCGUGUGAGUAACACGUGUGUAACCUGCCCUGUACGUGGGGAUAUCUGUAGGAAACUGGGGCUAAUACCGGAUAGGAGCUGUGGUGGCAUGGUGGGGGUUGGAAAGUUUCGGCGGUUGGUGAUGGACUCGCGGCUUAUCAGCUUGUUGGUGGGGUAGUGGCUUACCAAGGCUUUGACGGGUAGCCGGCCUGAGAGGGUGACCGGCCACAUUGGGACUGAGAUACGACCCAGACUCCACAGGGAGGCAGCAGUGGGGAAUAUUGCACAAUGGGCGGAAGCCUGAUGCAGCACAGCCGCGUGCGGGAUGACGGCCUUCGGGUUGUAACAAAAAAUCGCCUGUGACGAAGCGUGAGUGACGGUAAUGGGUAAAGAAGCACCGGCUAACUACGUG